Molecule: RNA transcript, 1319 nt
Organism: Nycticebus coucang (slow loris)
Lineage: Eukaryota; Metazoa; Chordata; Mammalia; Primates; Lorisidae
Gene name: heterogeneous nuclear ribonucleoproteins A2/B1-like
Exons: 1
Source: RefSeq, a predicted model, not a curated record
ACGAGUCUGGCUCGAGUUCAUCCGCGGAGAUCUCUCUAAUCUCUCUUGGCUGUAGGAAAUAAGGCUGAAGCGACUGAGUCCGCAAUGGAGAGAGAAAAGGAACAGUUCCAUAAACUCUUUAUUGGUGGCUUAAGCUUUGAAACCACAGAAAAAAGUUUAUGAGCAAUGGGGCAAACUUACAGACUGUGUGGUAAUGAGAGAUCCUGCAAGCAAAAGAUCAAGAGGAUUUGGUUUUGUAACUUUCUCAUCCAUGGCUGAGGUUGAUGCUGCCAUGGCUGCAAGACCUCUUUCAAUUGAUGGGAGAGUGAUUGAGCCAAAACAUGCUGUAGUAAGAGAGGAGUCUGGAAAACAAGGGGCUCAUGUAACUGUGAAGAAACUGUUUGUUGGUGGAAUUAAAGAAGAUACUGAGGAGCAUCACCUUAGAGAUUACUUUGAGGAGUACAGAAAAAUUGAUACCAUUGAGAUAAUUACCGAUAGGCAGUCUGGAAAGAAAAGAGGCUUUGGCUUUGGCUUUGUUACUUUUGAUGACCAUGAUCCUGUGGAUAAAAUCGUGUUGCAGAAAUACCAUACCAUCAAUGGUCAUAAUGCAGAAAAGAAAGGCUUUGUCUAGAUAAGAAAUGCAGGAAGUUCAGAGUUCUAGGAGUGGAAGAGGAGGCAACUUUGGUUUUGGAGAUUCAUGUGGUGGUGAUGAAAAUUUUGGACCAGGACCAGGAAGUAACUUUAGAGGAGGAUCUGAUGGAUAUGGAAGUGGACGUGGAUUUGGGGAUGGCUAUAAUGGGUGUGGAGGAGGACCUGGAGGUGGCAAUUUUGGAGGUAGUCCUGGUUGUGGAGGAGGAAAGGAGGAUAUGGUGGUGGAGGACCUGGAUAUGGCAACCAGGGUGGGGCUAUGGAGGUGGUUAUGACAACUAUGGAAGAGGAAAUUAUGGACGUGGAAAUUACAAUGAUUUUGGAAAUUAUAACCAGCAGCCUUCUAACUAUGGUCCAAUGAAGAGUGGAAACUUUGGUGGUAGCAGGAAUAUGGGUGGACCAUAUGGUGGAGGGAACUAUGGUCCAGGAGGCAGUGGAGGAAGUGGGGGUUAUGGUGGGAGAAGCUGAUAUUGAGUUUCUUCCAAUUUUCCAUGGGAAGGUGUCCUGCUGCCGGUAACUAAUGAAGAAGUGGUCAACCACAGAGUCUUGAAGAAAUAAGAAAUUCUGUACCAUCUGAAAGUAGUUCUUGUUGGUGCCUUCAUUUGAAAAGCACUUUUAAGUCUAAAAGGGAAAUGUUUUCUGAUAAAACGAAUUUAAUUUAGUUCAGGUUCUUGAUAUAAAACAAAAUGAGU